This is a long non-coding RNA of Solanum dulcamara, 840 nucleotides long. RefSeq lists it as uncharacterized. The transcript has 5 exons. NCBI's taxonomy places the organism in Eukaryota, Viridiplantae, Streptophyta, Magnoliopsida, Solanales, Solanaceae. The record is from RefSeq and is a predicted model, not a curated record.
AUGUAGCCUAAAAUGGUACUUGGGUGUAGGAACCAUUUUCUAUUAAAAUGAUUUCGUAUGAGAAUUUUGAAUACUCCAUUGAAUCCAAAAUAUCUGGUUUAUUUUUAUCGAAUUCUGAACGAAUCCUGAGUACCCCGUCUUGCAGCAUAGCAAUACCAACAACCCUUUUUUGGGGGUUUGGUCUCAGCUUUAAAACCCCAUAACUUGGGCAUUAGAGCUUCGAAUUGGGUGAUUCAAAAGGCAAACUGUGAGAGUUUUCGAGGAGAAUGCAUAGGAGAACUUGAAAACUGAUUUGGAACAUUCAAUUUAGAGGUUAUCUUGCAUGGAAUUUUGAGGAGAACAUCUUGGAGGUAUCAGAAUCUGCUUUUGGCAUGCUGUUUCAGUGUGACAAUAUUCUGAGGCAGUUUGGAAGAGAAAAGCUCCUACACGGUGAUUUGAGGCUCAGGUGUUUAGCCUACAGGAUCGAGCACUAGCUACUGUCGUGGAUAGAUCGAGCCUAUUGCAAUCAGCUUUAGAGACUAGGGUACCUCAUGAUAAAGUUGUAGGUCACAACCAUUAGUCACAUUUUCAGAGAAGAAAAUCAAGUGGCGGACAAGCUAGCUAAAGAGGGAUGGAGGCACUCUUUUUUGGAGGAAACAAACCUACUAGAAGUUCCACCGGUGUGUGCCGUAGAUGUUUUUGAGACAGACACUCUAGGAACUAUUUAUACUAGGUGUAUCAAAGCAUAUAAUUUUAACAAUUUAGGCCAAGUUAGGCCUCUAACUAUGUACCGGUAUAACCCAAAAACAAUUUGCAAUGUUGUAGUAGCGUAAUAUAAACUCUCCUAUUACCAAAAAAAAG